GGGCAGGGACAUGCAGCGUACAGGCCUGCAUGUUUCUCUUAUCAGAGAGUAGACUCAAGCUUUCCUUUGAAGAAGCUCUCUUGUUGUAUUGAUUUUCGCUGUGUGCUGGCGAUAGUCUUGUGUAUUUGAUUAUAAAAUCCAUACGGCUCUUCUGUCCAGUUAUCCCCACUAAUCAUUCCUAAUUCAGUCUAACAUUCUCCAAAC
Pelobates cultripes (western spadefoot toad) is the source of this 204-nucleotide non-coding RNA. NCBI's taxonomy places the organism in Eukaryota, Metazoa, Chordata, Amphibia, Anura, Pelobatidae. The record is from the annotation of a GenBank genome assembly.